GCCUACGGGGGGCAGCAGUGGGGAAUAUGGCACAAUGGGGGAAACCCUGAUGCAGCGACGCCGCGUGAGUGAGGAAGUAUUUCGGUAUGUAAAGCUCCAUCAGCAGGGAAGAAAAUGACGGUACCUGACUAAGAAGCACCGGCUAACUACGUGCCAGCAGCAGCGGUAAUACGUAGGGGGCAAGCGUUAUCCGGAUUUACUGGGUGCAAAGGGAGCGUAGACGGAGGAGCAAGUCUGAUGUGAAAAUCCGG
Molecule: ribosomal RNA, 251 nt
Filed under: uncultured bacterium
Lineage: Bacteria
Description: partial 16S ribosomal RNA
Rfam family: Bacterial small subunit ribosomal RNA
Source: RNAcentral